RNAcentral lists this ribosomal RNA (1055 nucleotides) under Salmonella enterica subsp. enterica serovar Bovismorbificans. RNAcentral describes it as "bacterial SSU rRNA". It matches the Rfam family "Bacterial small subunit ribosomal RNA", at positions 110 to 1162 of the family's 1533-position model. Lineage: Bacteria; Pseudomonadati; Pseudomonadota; Gammaproteobacteria; Enterobacterales; Enterobacteriaceae. The record is from RNAcentral.
GUAAUGUCUGGGAAACUGCCUGAUGGAGGGGGAUAACUACUGGAAACGGUGGCUAAUACCGCAUAACGUCGCAAGACCAAAGAGGGGGACCUUCGGGCCUCUUGCCAUCAGAUGUGCCCAGAUGGGAUUAGCUAGUUGGUGAGGUAACGGCUCACCAAGGCGACGAUCCCUAGCUGGUCUGAGAGGAUGACCAGCCACACUGGAACUGAGACACGGUCCAGACUCCUACGGGAGGCAGCAGUGGGGAAUAUUGCACAAUGGGCGCAAGCCUGAUGCAGCCAUGCCGCGUGUAUGAAGAAGGCCUUCGGGUUGUAAAGUACUUUCAGCGGGGAGGAAGGUGUUGUGGUUAAUAACCGCAGCAAUUGACGUUACCCGCAGAAGAAGCACCGGCUAACUCCGUGCCAGCAGCCGCGGUAAUACGGAGGGUGCAAGCGUUAAUCGGAAUUACUGGGCGUAAAGCGCACGCAGGCGGUCUGUCAAGUCGGAUGUGAAAUCCCCGGGCUCAACCUGGGAACUGCAUUCGAAACUGGCAGGCUUGAGUCUUGUAGAGGGGGGUAGAAUUCCAGGUGUAGCGGUGAAAUGCGUAGAGAUCUGGAGGAAUACCGGUGGCGAAGGCGGCCCCCUGGACAAAGACUGACGCUCAGGUGCGAAAGCGUGGGGAGCAAACAGGAUUAGAUACCCUGGUAGUCCACGCCGUAAACGAUGUCUACUUGGAGGUUGUGCCCUUGAGGCGUGGCUUCCGGAGCUAACGCGUUAAGUAGACCGCCUGGGGAGUACGGCCGCAAGGUUAAAACUCAAAUGAAUUGACGGGGGCCCGCACAAGCGGUGGAGCAUGUGGUUUAAUUCGAUGCAACGCGAAGAACCUUACCUGGUCUUGACAUCCACAGAACUUUCCAGAGAUGGACUGGUGCCUUCGGGAACUGUGAGACAGGUGCUGCAUGGCUGUCGUCAGCUCGUGUUGUGAAAUGUUGGGUUAAGUCCCGCAACGAGCGCAACCCUUAUCCUUUGUUGCCAGCGGUCCGGCCGGGAACUCAAAGGAGACUGCCAGUGAUAAA